AUUCCAGCUCCAAUAGCGUAUAUUAAAGUUGUUGCAGUUAAAAAGCUCGUAGUCGGAUUUCGGGGCGGGCCGGGCGGUCUGCCGAUGGGUAUGCACUGUCCGGCGCGUCCUUCUUUCCGGAGACCGCGCCUACUCUUAGCUGAGCGGGCGUGGGAGACGGAUCGUUUACUUUGAAAAAAUCAGAGUGUUUCAAGCAGGCAGCUCGCUCUUGCAUGGAUUAGCAUGGGAUAAUGAAAUAGGACUUUGGUGCUAUUUUGUUGGUUUCGAACACCGAAGUAAUGAUUAACAGGGACAGUCAGGGGCACUCGUAUUCCGCCGAGAGAGGUGAAAUUCUCAGACCAGCGGAAGACGAACCACUGCGAAAGCAUUUGCCAGGGAUGUUUUCAUCA
This 389-nucleotide ribosomal RNA is filed under the name Syracosphaerales sp. Its description in RNAcentral is "partial small subunit ribosomal RNA". It matches the Rfam family "Eukaryotic small subunit ribosomal RNA", at positions 582 to 975 of the family's 1831-position model. Lineage: Eukaryota; Haptophyta; Syracosphaerales. The record is from RNAcentral.